CAAAGUGUAGCUUAAACUAAAGCACCUGGCCUACACCCAGAAGAUUUCAUAGUCAUGACCACUUUGA
RNAcentral lists this transfer RNA (67 nucleotides) under Elephantulus edwardii (Cape elephant shrew). Its description in RNAcentral is "tRNA-Val". It matches the Rfam family "tRNA". From Rfam's summary of the family: Transfer RNA (tRNA) molecules are approximately 80 nucleotides in length. Their secondary structure includes four short double-helical elements and three loops (D, anti-codon, and T loops). Further hydrogen bonds mediate the characteristic L-shaped molecular structure. tRNAs have two regions of fundamental functional importance: the anti-codon, which is responsible for specific mRNA codon recognition, and the 3' end, to which the tRNAs corresponding amino acid is attached (by aminoacyl-tRNA synthetases). tRNAs cope with the degeneracy of the genetic code in two manners: having more than one tRNA (with a specific anti-codon) for a particular amino acid; and 'wobble' base-pairing, i.e. permitting non-standard base-pairing at the 3rd anti-codon position. The record is from RNAcentral. Lineage: Eukaryota; Metazoa; Chordata; Mammalia; Macroscelidea; Macroscelididae.